AUAAAGCAAGAAAAUGAAGAAAGCAACAUAAGUGGGUAAGAAAUCCUUAACCACAAGCUUCAAAUCUUCAAGACAAAAGUGUGUGUGCAAAACCUAGCUUCCAACCAUGUUAUCUCAAGCCCUAAGAACUUAAAAUACGCCUAAGGUCUGCCAAAGACUCGUACAAAAUGAGCUGAUUUGGGUAUUAAAGGGUUUGGGGUCAACAAUGUAAAAUUCAUGUACUGCCCAGUUUCCACGCCAAAUUGUUCAUCGCGUUCGCGCUCAAACCUUCGCGCUCGUGAAGGUUUACUUUUCUCAGCCAUCGCAUUCGCGUAUAUAUCUUCGCGUUCACGAAGGUUCCUAUUUUGCUUCAAUGUGUUCUCGUGUGUACUAUGCAUUCGCGUAGGUUUAAAUUUUGUAUCUUUGCGUUCGCGUUUAUCCCUAUGUGUUCGCGUAGGUUUGGUUACUAAUUCAUCGCGUUCGUGUGCUUUACUUCGCGUUCGCGAAGGCCUGUGUCUUGCUUCUUUGCGUUCGGGUUGUGUACUUCACAUUCAUGAAGAAUAAUUCACUGGGCAAGUUCAUUUUGUCCAUUUUAGCUCCUUUUGACUUGUUUUCACUUGGUUUCUCCACCCUUUACUUCUAAAUCACAUAAAACCUGUAAAAUGGAAGUAAAAGACAUUAAACAAAUGAUUUUUAUUACUUAAACAUAACAAAUGUAUAGGCUUAAGGACAAGAGCUAUAACCAAUUCGAGUAAACACGAACACAUAACCGGCGAGCAAAUUCAGAACCACAGAGAACAAUCUUUUAAAUCUUAAAAGGCUUCAAAUUUUAUUUUGGACAAGAUUCACUAUAGUCUCAUAUCUGUAGUAAUUGCUUUACGCUGAUAUACUCUACUGAAAAUACUUUUUCGGGUAUCACAGUUUAGAUUAUAAAAGAACUGAUGGUAUAGUCAAAUCUUAAAACAAUAUAAUUCAAACCAGUACGCUACGACUUCUAAUAAUAAAAACAAACAAAGCAAAACAAAGGAAACACCACAAAUUACACAUACAGUUAUCAUCUUAAAGCAAAACUUUUGAUUGAAUGCAAUUAUAUUUGUUUUUCAACUUAAAAGAAAAUUCUUAACCGAAAAUAGAACACAAAGAUCUGAAACAGAAUAGAGCGAAUCGUGACAAGAAACGACACCGAGAACCGACAACGGAAAACCUCGAAACAGCUAUUUCUAAUGUUGAUCGCUCGAAUGGGAUCUCGCCGGUGAAUUCGCCGUGUUGCGUGUGCAAAGGAGCUGUUUUUACUGGAGAUUUGUGGAGUUUUUAUGGCUGAAAUAAUGGUGUCUUCUGCAACGAUUAAUGGAGCUCGCCGGAACAUAUUAUCUGGCAAAAAACAAAAAAGAGAUCUGGCCAGCAAAUAAAGUCACCGAACAAUGACCUCGAAUCGGGCACAAAGCAACUUUCAAACUCAAAUGAAAUCCAUGAGUUUGAAAGCAAAAAUCGAGAUCGAAAUCAACGAGAAGAAACCAAAACUCGGCAGAGGUGUACUAGGUCGAGCGGUCUUCAGGCUUUGGUGUUCUGCGUCUGCUUUUGGUGGUGGUCGGCGUUUCUCGACGAGUUCGCCAUUGGUUUGGUGAGGGUCUGUUUUUGCUGGGUUCUCAAAGUUGAAGAUGGGUCUUAGGCGUUCGGUAUCCUAAAAAAGAAGAGCUGAACGCCCUCUACGCCCAGGAUGAGAAAAAUGGCUCUUCCUUUCUGAUGUUCCUAGAGUUAAGUCUUGUGAAGAUGAAAAUCAAGCUUUGGGUCGCUGGGAUUUUCAGCGUUUUCCCAUGAUAAAAACAACGGCUGAUAUGGAGUUAUUCUUUUGAAGAAUGACGUGGUGGGGUUUUUUUUUGUCAAAAACUGCUGAUAUUCUAAGAGUCUAGGGUAUAGGUUUUUUUGAGCAAAAUUCAUUUCUAGCCAUUCGUUAAAAAAUAAUAGCAUUAUAGUAACCAUAAAAUCCGGUAACUAAAAUUAGGCACGACAUGAUAUUCCCAUUUCAUUACUCUGUCGUUUGAUUUUGAUUUUCUAUCAUUUCAACAAACUAAAUAAUAUCUCCCCACAAUAUUGUUUCUCUUUGUUUUACUCCAUAUUGAUAGUACUAGUAGUUUUGAAGCAUGACAUAAAAACAAAUUACUAUAUACUUUGAAGUUAAAUGUGUUUAUAAAAAGCGAUUUCAUU
This 2184-nucleotide long non-coding RNA is filed under the name Nicotiana benthamiana. Its description in RNAcentral is "long non-coding RNA (NBEN_LNC027042)". Lineage: Eukaryota; Viridiplantae; Streptophyta; Magnoliopsida; Solanales; Solanaceae. The record is from RNAcentral.